UCGAAUUAUAGUGUUUUUCCAGUACAAAGUGAUGCCGUAAUGCGAAAACCAUAUCAUUUAGCUGGGUUCCACCGAUGGCGUAAAACAAAACAACCUACGGAAUCUAAUCAGUAUCACUUUGGUAAGUAUUUUUUUCAAUCUGAUUUUACUAACUGUUGUUUUUUUUAGGUUUUUCAACUAUAAUCCAUUUUUUCCCUUUUUACGAAGAAGAUGCCAUUUUAACAUGGAUUUUUACCACAAAGUGACUAGCUUGGUAAAAUACCAUCGACGUGCUUCACCAGAAAAUAAAACAUAUGCCUGGUCAAGGAAACAAUCGUCUGGAAUCCUUUCGGCAGCCAUUAAUUCCUUUACCUGGAAGACGAAGUCUGAGACCUCCAUCCCAUGAGAAUCUCCACUAAACUGGAUUCCCCAUCUAUCUAGGCGAAAAUGACGAAAUUUGUGCUCGCUUCUUCGAGACUUUUUCUCCUUAUCGGAAAGGCUAUCCAGAGAAGACGUUGAGGAUGAGCUUGAUGAGAGCAAACUGCUCAAAGAAUCUAACGAAGAGCUCUCUGAAUCCGAUGAUGAACUCUGAGGAAACCAAUAUUAAACCGAAUGUAGUCUACAAAUCAAUAGAAAUAAUAAUAAAAGAAAAAUAUAUGUCC
Toxorhynchites rutilus septentrionalis is the source of this 641-nucleotide long non-coding RNA. RefSeq lists it as uncharacterized. The transcript has 4 exons. NCBI's taxonomy places the organism in Eukaryota, Metazoa, Arthropoda, Insecta, Diptera, Culicidae. The record is from RefSeq and is a predicted model, not a curated record.